RNAcentral lists this transfer RNA (2362 nucleotides) under Sus scrofa (pig). RNAcentral's name for it is "lncRNA (ENSSSCG00045003688.1)". The stretch from base 216 to 289 matches the Rfam family "tRNA". The record is from RNAcentral. Lineage: Eukaryota; Metazoa; Chordata; Mammalia; Artiodactyla; Suidae.
AUGAUCACCACCAUGUUCCUCCAAUCCUCUGAGGACCCAGGGACCCACGGUACUGAGAAAAGCUUUGAUGGAGCCGGCUGGUGGAUCUCCACUCCAGAUUUUCCAGCUGUCCCUGUCCCCCCCCACCGCUCAGAGAGCAGGAUGCUGAGAUGGCUCGGUGAUGCAGAAGGUAUGUGCUUUUUCAGUUCUGGUGCUGAUGCUGUGUGUGUGGUGAGGUCUCUGUGGCGCAAUGGACGAGCGCGCUGGACUUCUAAUCCAGAGGUUCCGGGUUCGAGUCCCGGCAGAGAUGGUCACCUGGCAGGCACUGUAGUUCCUGACUGUAUGUUGAAAGAAGGAGGAUGAGAACAGGUGACAUUUUUGGCUACCAAAACAUCAAUCUGCAUGCAGAGAAGGGACUGAUCUCAUUAUUCCCCCAUGGAGAACAAAGAAGGAAAUCACAGAUGUUGUGAAGAAGAGAGAAUUUCAGGAUCCCAACGUGUAUGUGCUUAGCAAGAGACUUUGCUAAACCAUGGGAGAGAGCUGUUCAGUGACCAGCUCACAGGACAGAGGCCAAGGCAGGGGUGGUGGUGAUGGUGGGGUCUCCCUUCAGCUUCUUCCCUGAUCCCUGAGCAUGGCUGAGACGAAGGCCAUGGCCCUGCUUCCACAGAAAACCUACUUCAGGAGUCAUCUUACAACACUUUAUUCAAUGGGAGCUCUGAGAGCCAGAAUCUGAAAUGCCACCAGAUUGAGGGGGCACCAUUUAUGCACGAAAGGCCCAAAUUCUAUGUUCCUUCAUAGAAACAAAUCCUUAACCCACUGAGCAAGGCCAGGAAUCGAACCUUUGUCCUCAUGGAUGCUAGUCAGAUUCGUUAACCGCUGAGCCACAACGGGAACUCCAGUACGCUUUUUUUUUUUUUUUUUCAACAAAUUAUGGUACAUGCAGUCAUACCUUCAUGCUCUGCCUUGGUAUACCAGGGCCUAUGGACCUCAAAGUGUCUUUUUAAAAAGAACUGUGAUGAUUUUUCCAAUGAAGCUCUUCUCAACUUUCCAGCAAAUUAUCGAUGAAGACAAGGAUAAAUGUGAAGGUUUGCAAAGAAAAAUUUUACACCACCCGUCAACCUAUGGCCAGAGUGUGAGAAGCUGAUGGUGAUGAAGUGUAAGCCAUAGGCUUAAUGUCUUUUGCUACCCAAAAUCUGUCCUUAAAACCUAAAAUUAAAAUGUUCGAAAGACAUUUUGUCCUUCCCCCAAUUGUUGUCCCUCCAGGUUAGAAAAAUUGGGUUGAUUCCAAGCAGAAAACUGAGAUUAGGAGUUUUGGCUCAGUAAGUUAAAGAACCCAACAUGGUGUCUGUGAAGAUGUGGGUUCAAUCCCUGGCCUUGCUUGGUGGUUUAAGGAUCAGGUGUUGCUGUGGCUGUGGUGCAGGCCUGCAGCUGCAGCUCUGAUUCAACCCCUAGCCCAGGAACUUCCACAUGCUGCAGUGUGGACAUUUGAAAGAAAGAAAAAAAGAAAGUUAAUUUCAGCUGUACAGCAGAAUGAAUCAGCCAUGCAUAUAUACAUAUCUACUCUUUUGCAGAUUCUUUUCCCAUCUAGGUUAUUACAGAAUAUUGAGUAGAGUUCCCUGUGCUAUACAGCAGGUCCUUGUUAGUUAUCUGUUCUAUAUAUAGCAGUGUGUGUAUGUAAAUUCCUAAGUUAUCCUUUCUCCCCACAUUUCCCCCUUGGCAACCAUUCGUUUGAUUGAGAUCUGUGAGUCUGUUUCUGUUCUGUAAAUAAAUUCAUUUGUAUCAUUUUAAAAUUAGAUUCUAGGAGUUCCCUUCAUGGCUUAGCAGAAACAAAUCUGACUAGUAUCCAUGAGGAUGCAGGUUCAAUCCCUGGUCUCACUCAGUGGGUUAAGGAUUCGAUAUUGCUGUGAGCUGUGUGUAGGUGGCAGUUCUGAUUUGACCCUUAGCCUGGGAACCUCCAUAUGCCACAGUUGCAGCCCUAAAAGACAAAAAAAAAAAAAAAAAAAAAAGAAAUGAGAUUCUACAUAUAAGUGAUAUCAUAUGUAAUUUGUAUUUCUCUAUCUGACUUACUUCAUUUAGUAUGAUGAUCUCUAGGUCUUCUAUAUUACUGCAAAAUGAUAUUACAUCAUUCCUUUUUAUGGUUGAGUAAUAUUCCAGUGUACAUAUGUACCACAUCUUCUUUAUCCAUUCCUCUGUCCAUGGAUAUUUAGGUUGCUUCCGUGUCUUUGCUCAUGUAAACAGUGCUGCAGUGAACAUCGGGGUGCAUUUUUCAUUGAUGUGAUCACUACCUGACACAUAUUUUUAUGUUUCUCCCAAUAGAAUAUAAGCCCCAUUUGGACAUGGGGUUUGCUUGUCUUUCUUGAAUUGCAUCUCCUUUGCUUUGGAC